Molecule: ribosomal RNA, 468 nt
Filed under: uncultured bacterium
Lineage: Bacteria
Description: partial 16S ribosomal RNA
Rfam family: Bacterial small subunit ribosomal RNA (bases 58-468)
Source: RNAcentral
GGGGGGGGGGGGGGGGGGGCGGGGGGGGGGCGGGGCGGAGGGGGGGGGGCUGCUGGGGUGGGGUGCGCGGGGGGCGGGCGGGGGCGUGCCACGUGGGUAACCUGCCCUUUGCUUUGGGUGCCCUUCCGGAAGCUGGGGCUAUUCCCGGAUGGGUGCUCCCUCGGCGGGGUGUGCGUUUGAAAGUUGCGGCGGUUGGGGAUGGACUCGCGGCUUAUCCUCUAGUUGGUGGGGUAGUGGCUUACCAAGGCCUUGACGGGUAGCCGGCCUGAGAGGGGGACCGGCCACAUUGGGACUGAGAUACGGCCCAGACUCCUACGGGAGGCAGCAGUGGGGAAUAUUGCACAAUGGGCGGAAGCCUGAUGCAGCAACGCCGCGUGCGGGAUGACGGCCUUCGGGUUGUAAACCGCUUUCGCCUGUGACGAAGCGUGAGUGACGGUAAUGGGUAAAGAAGCACCGGCUAACUACGUG